GAUGAACGCUGGCGGCGUGCUUGAUACAUGCAAGUCGAACGCAUCGGCAAAGCCAAGGUGUCCUGGCGGAACCGGAGGGCGAGAAAUCGUUCAAAGGGGACAAAGGGGCAAAGAGGCGGAGCUGGUGAGUGGCGGACGGGUGAGUAACACGUAGGUGAUCUGCCUCAAAGUGGGGGAUAACUGUUCGAAAGGGCAGCUAAUACCGCAUGUGGUCCUUGGGAGACCGAGGAAGAAAGGCGAGAGUCGCUUUGAGAUGAGCCUGCGGCCGAUUAGCUAGUUGGUGAGGUAAGGGCUCACCAAGGCGAAGAUCGGUAGCUGGUCUGAGAGGAUGAUCAGCCACACUGGGAUUGAGAACGGCCCAGACUCCUACGGGAGGCAGCAGUAAGGAAUAUUGCACAAUGGGGGGAACCCGUGAUGCAGCAACGCCGCGUGGGUGAAGAAGGCUUCGAGUUGUAAACCUUUACUGUGGGAUCGAGGAAGGACAGUACCACAGGAAC
RNAcentral lists this ribosomal RNA (497 nucleotides) under uncultured bacterium. Its description in RNAcentral is "bacterial SSU rRNA". It matches the Rfam family "Bacterial small subunit ribosomal RNA", at positions 28 to 487 of the family's 1533-position model. The record is from RNAcentral.